RNAcentral lists this ribosomal RNA (305 nucleotides) under uncultured bacterium. RNAcentral describes it as "bacterial SSU rRNA". It matches the Rfam family "Bacterial small subunit ribosomal RNA", at positions 333 to 635 of the family's 1533-position model. The record is from RNAcentral.
CGUAUCCUACGGGGGGCAGCAGUGAGGAAUAUUGGUCAAUGGGCGGGAGCCUGAACCAGCCAAGUCGCGUGAGGGAAGAAGGUACUGAGUAUUGUAAACCUCUUUUGCCAGGGGACAAAGGCGGCCACGGGUGGCCGUAAGAGGGUACCUGGAGAAAAAGCAUCGGCUAACUCCGUGCCAGCAGCCGCGGUAAUACGGAGGAUGCGAGGGUUAUCCGGAUUUACUGGGUGUAAAGGGAGCGUAGACGGAAAGGCAAGUCAGAAGUGAAAACCCAAGGCUCAACCAUGGGACUGCUUUUGAAACUG